Molecule: long non-coding RNA, 220 nt
Filed under: Elaeis guineensis (African oil palm)
Lineage: Eukaryota; Viridiplantae; Streptophyta; Magnoliopsida; Arecales; Arecaceae
Description: long non-coding RNA (EGUI_LNC052460)
Source: RNAcentral
AGUGAGAAUAGUAUCCCUUGAACUCUUCAAAGUUUCCUCCAUAGUGACCAACAUGUUGACCAGUUCGGGUAUAGUGCAAUAAAGUUUGUUCAUAUAAAAAUUUACAAUAAAUUGACUAUAUGAACUAGUAAAAGAUUGAAGGAUCAAAUUCAUCUAUAAUUCUUUUUUCCUAUCAAGUCCAAGCUUCUCAAUCUCCUCAAUAUCCUUGAUCACUAUCAUA